Molecule: transfer RNA, 73 nt
Filed under: Phytohabitans aurantiacus
Lineage: Bacteria; Bacillati; Actinomycetota; Actinomycetes; Micromonosporales; Micromonosporaceae
Description: Micromonospora sp. RD004123 tRNA-Arg
Rfam family: tRNA
About the family: Transfer RNA (tRNA) molecules are approximately 80 nucleotides in length. Their secondary structure includes four short double-helical elements and three loops (D, anti-codon, and T loops).
Source: RNAcentral
GCCCUCGUAGCGCAGCGGAAGCGCGCUGGCGUCCGAAGCCAGAGGUCGGAGGUUCGAAUCCUCUCGGGGGCAC